This 495-nucleotide ribosomal RNA is filed under the name uncultured bacterium. Its description in RNAcentral is "partial 16S ribosomal RNA". It matches the Rfam family "Bacterial small subunit ribosomal RNA", at positions 28 to 507 of the family's 1533-position model. The record is from RNAcentral.
GACGAACGCUGGCGGCGUGCCUAAUACAUGCAAGUAGAACGCAGAAGGAGGAACUUGGUUCUCUGGAUGAGUUGCGAACGGGUGAGUAACGCGUAGGGAACCUGCAUGGUAGCGGGGGGGAACUCUUGGAAACGAUAGCUAUUACAGCAUAAUAUUUGAUGUUGCGUAACAUUCAAUUAAAAGGUACAGUUGCAUCACUACCAGAUGGUCGUGCGGUGUAUUAGUUAGUAGGUGGGGUAGCGGCUCACCAAGGAGACGAUACAUAGCCGACCUGAGAGGGUGAUCGGCCACACUGGGACUGAGACACGGCCCAGACUCCUACGGGAGGCAGCAGUAGGGAAUCUUCGGCAAUGGACGGAAGUCUGACCGAGCAACGCCGCGUGAGUGAAGAAGGUUUUCGGAUCGUAAAGCUCUGUUGUAAGAGAAGAACGAGUGUGAGAGUGGAAAGUUCACACUGUGACGGUAUCUUACCAGAAAGGGACGGCUAACUACGUG